RNAcentral lists this ribosomal RNA (253 nucleotides) under uncultured bacterium. Its description in RNAcentral is "partial 16S ribosomal RNA". It matches the Rfam family "Bacterial small subunit ribosomal RNA", at positions 524 to 776 of the family's 1533-position model. The record is from RNAcentral.
UACGAAGGGUGCAAACGUUGCUCGGAAUCAUUGGGCGUAAAGCGCACGUAGGCGGCUUCGCAAGUCGGAUGUGAAAUCCCUCGGCUCAACCGUGGACGUGCAUACGAAACUGCGGAGCUUGAGUGCUGAAGAGGAUCGCGGAAUUCCCGGUGUAGAGGUGAAAUUCGUAGAUAUCGGGAGGAACACCAGUGGCGAAGGCGGCGAUCUGGGCAGACACUGACGCUGAGGUGCGAAAGCAUGGGGAGCGAACGGG